AAGAAAGAUGUUCAUAUUCAUAUUCAUAUUCAGAGAUAGACUAGCUAAGUAUAUCUAUUCCCCCCCCUGAAAGAAAGAAAGAAAGAAAGAAAGAAAGAAAGAAAGAAAGAAAGAAAGAAAGAAAGAAAGAAAGAAAGAAAGAAAGAAAGAGAGAGAGAAAGGAAGGAAGGAAGGAAGAAAAGAGGAGAAAGAAAGAAAGAAAGAAAGAAAGAAAGAAAGAAAGAAAGAAAGAAAGAAAGAAAGAAAGAAAGAAAGAAAGAAAGAAAGAAAGAAAGAAAGAAAGAAAGAAAGAAAGAAAGAAAGAAAGAAAGAAAGAAAGAAAGAAAGAAAGAAAGAAAGAAAGAAAGAAAGAAAGAAAGAAAGAAAGAAAGAAAGAGAGAAAGAAAGAAAGAGAGAAAGAGAGAAAGAAAGAAAGAGGAAGGAAGGAAGAGAAAGAAAGAAAGAAAGAAAGAAAGAAAGAAAGAAAGAAAGAAAGAAAGAAAGAAAGAAAGAAAGAAAGAAAGAAAGAAAGAAAGAAAGAAAGAAAGAAAGAAAGAAAGAAAGAAAGAAAGAAAGAAAGAAAGAAAGAAAGAAAGAAAGAAAGAAAGAAAGAAAGAAAGAAAAAGGAAGGAAGGAAGGAAGGAAGGAAGGAAGGAAGGAAGGAAGGAAGGAAGGAAGGAAGGAAGGAAGGAAGGAAGGAAGGAAGGAAGGAAGGAAGGAAGGGGGGGGAGGGAGGAAAGAAGGAAGAGAAUUUCUAACAGUUUAAGGCUCCCUCAAAACAUUAUUAUCAAAACCUUGAGGAAAUGAGC
This 788-nucleotide long non-coding RNA is filed under the name Monodelphis domestica (gray short-tailed opossum). RNAcentral describes it as "lncRNA (ENSMODG00000031422.2)". The record is from RNAcentral. Lineage: Eukaryota; Metazoa; Chordata; Mammalia; Didelphimorphia; Didelphidae.